GGAGCAGGAGCCGGAGCCCUGAGGUUCGGGGCCGAGACCCCGGCCCCGCGCCCCGGCCCCGGCGGGUGUGCGCGCUCUCCCGCCACUGCCCGGCGCCCGCGACCAUGCUCCGCGGUUGGGAGGCAGGAACCCAGGCACCCAGCGAUCCCCGGAUAGCCUCUCCCGGGCCGGGCUGGUAUUGAGAUCAAGGCGUCCAGGAUCAAAAGAUCACCGCCUGCCCGCCCCCUCUGCAUCUCCAACUGGCGAGCAGGAGGACCCCCAUCCACACAACGACCCUGACCUGGUCAUGGCGUCCAGCUCCGGCCUGGCGUGAGGACCCCCCAAUCCGCGUGAGGGAGCCCCCAACCCAGACCACACCCUUGAGCCUGAGCCCGACAUUAUUCCUGAGGUGAGAGGUCUGUGUGCCCCUGUGUGUCCCUCUCAGCCUCCCUGAUU
Molecule: long non-coding RNA, 435 nt
Filed under: Homo sapiens (human)
Lineage: Eukaryota; Metazoa; Chordata; Mammalia; Primates; Hominidae
Description: non-protein coding lnc-RPS25-6:1
Source: RNAcentral